RNAcentral lists this ribosomal RNA (558 nucleotides) under uncultured bacterium. RNAcentral's name for it is "bacterial SSU rRNA". It matches the Rfam family "Bacterial small subunit ribosomal RNA", at positions 776 to 1347 of the family's 1533-position model. The record is from RNAcentral.
AAAUAGAUACCCCGGUAGUCCACGCCGUAAACGAUGGAUGCUAGCUGUUAUGAGUAUCGACCCUUGUAGUAGCGAAGCUAACGCGUUAAGCAUCCCGCCUGUGGAGUACGAGCGCAAGCUUAAAACAUAAAGGAAUUGACGGGGACCCGCACAAGCGGUGGAGCGUGUUGUUUAAUUCGAUGAUAAGCGAAGAACCUUACCAAGGCUUGACAUCCCUGGAAGGUCUCCGAAAGGAGACUGUGCCUUCGGGAAUCAGGUGACGGGUGAUGCAUGGCCGUCGUCAGCUCGUGUCGUGAGAUGUUUGGUUAAGUCCAUCAACGAGCGCAACCCUUAUAAAUAGUUGAAUUUUUCUAUUUAGACUGCCUCGGUAACGGGGAGGAAGGAGGGGAUGACGUCAGGUCAGUAUUUCCCUUAUGCCUUGGGCUACAAACACGCUACAAUGGCCGGUACAAAGGGCAGCCAACCCGCGAGGGGGAGCAAAUCCCAUCAAAACCGGUCCCAGUUCGGAUAGCAGGCUGAAACUCGCCUGCUUGAAGUCGGAAUCGCUAGUAAACGGUG